This 274-nucleotide ribosomal RNA is filed under the name uncultured bacterium. RNAcentral's name for it is "partial 16S ribosomal RNA". It matches the Rfam family "Bacterial small subunit ribosomal RNA", at positions 123 to 406 of the family's 1533-position model. The record is from RNAcentral.
UAUCUCCCCCCUGAUGAGGAAUACCACCGAGAAAUCGGUGACAAUACCGCAUACGUUUCGCAAGAAACAAAGCUUCGCAAGAGGCGUCAGAGGAUGAGCCUGUGCCUGAUUAGCUAGUUGGUAAGGUAAUGGCUUACCAAGGCGACGAUCAGUAGCUGGUCUGAGAGGAUGAUCAGCCACACUGGGAUUGAGAACGGCCCAGACUCCUACGGGGGGCAGCAGUGAGGAAUUUUCGUCAAUGGGGGCAACCCUGAACGAGCAACGCCGCGUGCAG